GGGAUUAUAGCUCAGUUGGUUAGAGCACCACGUUGACAUCGUGGGGGUCAUAGGUUCGAGUCCUACUAAUCCCA
Molecule: transfer RNA, 74 nt
Filed under: Clostridiales bacterium
Lineage: Bacteria; Bacillati; Bacillota; Clostridia; Eubacteriales
Also listed under: 2 other names
Description: tRNA-Val
Rfam family: tRNA
About the family: Transfer RNA (tRNA) molecules are approximately 80 nucleotides in length. Their secondary structure includes four short double-helical elements and three loops (D, anti-codon, and T loops). Further hydrogen bonds mediate the characteristic L-shaped molecular structure. tRNAs have two regions of fundamental functional importance: the anti-codon, which is responsible for specific mRNA codon recognition, and the 3' end, to which the tRNAs corresponding amino acid is attached (by aminoacyl-tRNA synthetases). tRNAs cope with the degeneracy of the genetic code in two manners: having more than one tRNA (with a specific anti-codon) for a particular amino acid; and 'wobble' base-pairing, i.e. permitting non-standard base-pairing at the 3rd anti-codon position.
Source: RNAcentral